RNAcentral lists this long non-coding RNA (391 nucleotides) under Phoenix dactylifera (date palm). RNAcentral describes it as "long non-coding RNA (PDAC_LNC010969)". The record is from RNAcentral. Lineage: Eukaryota; Viridiplantae; Streptophyta; Magnoliopsida; Arecales; Arecaceae.
AAGUACUGUUCAUCCGUGCUAUUUUUGCAGAAGUGUGCCAGAUGAUUUCUUGAUGUGCCGGGGUCGACUCAAUCAAUCUUGGGGUCGACUCAAUCCACACUUUGCUGCAACUUAAGGUUAGAUUCAUCCAUAUAAUCAAUGAAAUAAACUUUAAACAAUUUUGAAUAUAUGUCAUGGUAGUGCUACAUACUCCAAACAAUGAAAAUUACUAUUGUCCACUUAAGAGUAUGUUUUACUUGAAACUUUGCCGAAUUAGAAUUUAGAGUUCACUAUCCCUUUCCUAUCGCAAAUUUUAUCUCAUUAAUAAUCAUUGAAAUACAUCUUAAUCUCAUUAUACUAAUGUAUCGAGAGUGACGGACUUAUUAAUGAUGUAUCGAAUUAACUUGUAACA